RNAcentral lists this unclassified non-coding RNA (207 nucleotides) under Hevea brasiliensis (rubber tree). Lineage: Eukaryota; Viridiplantae; Streptophyta; Magnoliopsida; Malpighiales; Euphorbiaceae. The record is from RNAcentral.
GCCAGGAGAACUCGUUAAGUAAGAUAUAAGGUUGGAAGAUAUCCCAUAGUACGCAAAUCUCUCCGCCACUUCAACAGCUAUGAUGAAUGAUGCUGAUCUCCAUCCGCCGGAGCUUGAUCGGUGGGCCGGCCUGCUUUUGUAGUCAACGGAUCCAUCCACUGUGACGUCUUCCAUUAAUGGAGUAGUUGCCAUUGGCUUCAAACUCAG